Molecule: unclassified non-coding RNA, 443 nt
Filed under: Dermacentor andersoni
Lineage: Eukaryota; Metazoa; Arthropoda; Arachnida; Ixodida; Ixodidae
Description: uncharacterized LOC126541389
Source: RNAcentral
AUGGAUUGUGUGUGGCGCUCUUCACCGCAUGUGGACUAGAGUAGAUCUAGGAACAUCAGACAAGAAGACACGUAUGUGAAACCCUGCGGAUAGCCCAUAUGUGAACUUUUUUUCCAGAUACGGGGGAACGGACACCGGUCGUGCCGUGAGCACUAUUCUGCAGGGCAUACUUACAAAUGAAACUGCACUGCAGUUCAGCUGGAAAGGGUCGCAGGGGAGGAAGCACGCCUUCGUGAAGCUCAUGGCCAUCACGAAUAUAACAUCUGUGAGGAGCACGUUCCCUGACGCUUCACUAGCAUCAGUGGCUGGAGUCGCAAAACGCUGGUUGGUUGGAGCAGCUGACAGGGAUGGAGGCCGGAAUGAAAGAAGGCGCCGUGACCCUGCUUCAAGCCCACCAAAUAUGAACUAGUGUUUGAAACUUGUGAACGUGUCGGUGUAGAUAU